Molecule: ribosomal RNA, 491 nt
Filed under: uncultured bacterium
Lineage: Bacteria
Description: partial 16S ribosomal RNA
Rfam family: Bacterial small subunit ribosomal RNA
Source: RNAcentral
GAUGAACGCUGGCUACAGGCUUAACACAUGCAAGUCGAGGGGAAACGACGGGGAAGCUUGCUUCCCCGGGCGUCGACCGGCGCACGGGUGAGUAACGCGUAUCCAACCUGCCUCUGACUGAGGGAUAACCCGUCGAAAGUCGGCCUAAUACCUCAUGGCAUCGUCUGCGGGCAUCCAACGACGAUUAAAGAUUUCAUCGGUCAGGGAUGGGGAUGCGUCUGAUUAGCUUGUUGGCGGGGUAACGGCCCACCAAGGCUACGAUCAGUAGGGGUUCUGAGAGGAAGGUCCCCCACAUUGGAACUGAGACACGGUCCAAACUCCUACGGGAGGCAGCAGUGAGGAAUAUGGGUCAAUGGGCGGGAGCCUGAACCAGCCAAGUAGCGUGCAGGAUGACGGCCCUAUGGGUUGUAAACUGCUUUUAUGCGGGGAUAAAGUGAGGGACGUGUCCUUCAUUGCAGGUACCGCAUGAAUAAGGACCGGCUAAUUCCGUG